Molecule: ribosomal RNA, 380 nt
Filed under: uncultured eukaryote
Lineage: Eukaryota
Description: partial 18S ribosomal RNA
Rfam family: Eukaryotic small subunit ribosomal RNA
Source: RNAcentral
CAAUAGCGUAUAUUAAAGUUGUUGCAGUUAAAAAGCUCGUAGUUGGAUUUGUGGCGUACGGUGUGUUCCGGGCACUUGUUGUCUGAGUAACCUGCUGUUGCCAUCCUUGGGUGGAACCUGUGUGGCAUUAGGUUGUCGUGCAGGGGAUGCCCAUCAUUUACUGUGAAAAAAUUAGGGUGUUCAAAGCAGGCUUAUGCCGUUGAAUAUAUUAGCAUGGAAUAAUGAGAUAGGACUUUUUUGCUAUUUUGUUGGUUUGCGCAAAGAGGUAAUGAUUAAUAGGGACAGUUGGGGGUAUUCGUAUUCCAUUGUCAGAGGUGAAAUUCUUGGAUUUUUGGAAGACGAACUACUGCGAAAGCAUUUACCAAGGAUGUUUUCAUUAA